GAUAAAAGCUACCCCGGGGAUAACAGGCUUAUCUCCCCCAAGAGUUCACAUCGACGGGGAGGUUUGGCACCUCGAUGUCGGCUCAUCGCAUCCUGGGGCUGUAGUCGGUCCCAAGGGUUGGGCUGUUCGCCCAUUAAAGCGGUACGCGAGCUGGGUUCAGAACGUCGUGAGACAGUUCGGUCCCUAUCCGUCGUGGGCGUAGGAAAUUUGAGAGGAGCUGUCCUUAGUACGAGAGGACCGGGAUGGACAUACCUCUGGUGUACCAGUUGUCGUGCCAACGGCAUAGCUGGGUAGCUAUGUGUGGACGGGAUAAGUGCUGAAAGCAUCUAAGCAUGAAGCCCCCCUCAAGAUGAGAUUUCCCAACUUCGGUUAUAAGAUCCCUCAAAGAUGAUGAGGUUAAUAGGUUCGAGGUGGAAGCAUGGUGACAUGUGGAGCUGACGAAUACUAAUCGAUCGAAGACUUAAUCAA
RNAcentral lists this ribosomal RNA (468 nucleotides) under Escherichia coli. RNAcentral describes it as "partial 23S ribosomal RNA". It matches the Rfam family "Bacterial large subunit ribosomal RNA", at positions 2455 to 2925 of the family's 2925-position model. RNAcentral also lists the same sequence under 1 other name. The record is from RNAcentral. Lineage: Bacteria; Pseudomonadati; Pseudomonadota; Gammaproteobacteria; Enterobacterales; Enterobacteriaceae.